This 253-nucleotide ribosomal RNA is filed under the name uncultured bacterium. RNAcentral describes it as "partial 16S ribosomal RNA". It matches the Rfam family "Bacterial small subunit ribosomal RNA", at positions 524 to 776 of the family's 1533-position model. The record is from RNAcentral.
UACGGAGGGUGCAAGCGUUAUCCGGGUUCACUGGGUUUAAAGGGUGCGUAGGUGGGUAAGUAAGUCAGUGGUGAAAUCUCCGGGCUUAACCCGGAAACUGCCAUUGAUACUAUUUGUCUUGAAUACUGUGGAGGUCAGCGGAAUAUGUCAUGUAGCGGUGAAAUGCUUAGAUAUGACAUAGAACACCAAUUGCGAAGGCAGCUGGCUACACAAAUAUUGACACUGAGGCACGAAAGCGUGGGGAUCAAACAGG